GAUGAAGAACGUAGCGAAAUGCGAUAAGUAGUGUGAAUUGCAGAAUUCAGUGAAUCAUCGAAUCUUUGAACGCACAUUGCGCCCCUUGGUAUCCCGAGGGGCAUGCCUGUUCGAGCGUCACUUCACCACUCAAGCCUGGCUUGGUGUUGGGCGACGUCCCCUUUGGGGACGCGCCUCGAAACGCUCGGCGGCGUGGCACCGGCUUUAAGCGUAGCAGAAUCUUUCGCUUUGGAAGUCGGGGCCCCGUCUGCCGGAAGACCUACUCGCAAGGUUGACCUCGGAUCAGGCAGGGAUACCCGCUGAACUUAAGCAUAUCAAUAAGCGGAGGA
Molecule: unclassified non-coding RNA, 329 nt
Filed under: soil metagenome
Description: partial contains 5.8S ribosomal RNA, internal transcribed spacer 2, and large subunit ribosomal RNA
Rfam family: 5.8S ribosomal RNA (bases 1-120)
Source: RNAcentral